This 356-nucleotide long non-coding RNA is filed under the name Neogobius melanostomus (round goby). Its description in RNAcentral is "lncRNA (ENSNMLG00000017489.1)". Lineage: Eukaryota; Metazoa; Chordata; Actinopteri; Gobiiformes; Gobiidae. The record is from RNAcentral.
GGAAGUUACCGGUAGACGUGAGGAAAGUUCAAACAUUUGUUGCUGCAGGAGCCAACUACCAGUGCCGGACCGCGACAUAUGAGCCAUGCGUUAGGAUAAAAGCGGACUUGGCCGGGCUUUUCUUAUGGUUGAUGGCGAGCUACUGAAACAGGAUUCUAGCCUGACGAAGAAGUAUCAAUCCACCUGGAGAUGCCUACCAGGAACCCCAACCUCCUGCUCUGUCCGGGCUGGACCGUGGGGCAUUCAGGGACCCUCUGUUCUGUCCACCUGACACCGAGGGAUCUGUGCACCGGCGACUUCGACCAGGAGAGAUUUAAGCAGACACAGGCAAAUGGGUGAGUAGUGCGGUGAACGGG